Nannospalax galili (Upper Galilee mountains blind mole rat) is the source of this 459-nucleotide non-coding RNA. The record is from the annotation of a RefSeq genome assembly. Lineage: Eukaryota; Metazoa; Chordata; Mammalia; Rodentia; Spalacidae.
AUGGACAUGAGGGACAGCUCUCAAAUCUUGGGGCUUCUGCUACUCUGGUUCUCAGGUGUGAGAUGUGACAUCCUAAUGACUCAGUCUCCAUCCUUGCUAUCUGCAUCUCUGGGAGAGAAAGUUACCAUCACUUGCAAGGCCAGUCAGAACUUUUUUAAUGGGUUAGCUUGGUAUCAGCAUAAACCAGGGGAGGCUCCUAAACUCCUGAUCAAUGGUGCAUCCAUACUGCAAACUGGGAUCCCAUCAAGGUUCAGCGGCAGUGGAUCUGGUACAGAUUACACUCUCACCAUCAGCAGCCUGGAGCCUGAAGACGUUGCCACUUACUUCUGUCACCAGUAUACUAGUACCCCUCCCACAGUGAUUCAAAUCAUGACAAAAACCUCACAGGGAAGCUCAAGUUCAAGGCUCUGCUGCCCAGAUGCUCCGGUUGGUUUAUGCAACUACAGUAUUUCCUGGUGA